Long non-coding RNA from Prunus persica (peach), 843 nucleotides. RefSeq lists it as uncharacterized. Lineage: Eukaryota; Viridiplantae; Streptophyta; Magnoliopsida; Rosales; Rosaceae. The transcript is spliced from 2 exons. The record is from RefSeq and is a predicted model, not a curated record.
CACAUCCAAAUUUAAUCUGCAAAUACCACAUUUACCUACACAUUUUGCAAAUACAACCUAUAAAUACUUACUUAUUGCCUACAUAACACUUUUUCUCCGUUUUUGUUUUCUCUCUCUCUCUCUCUCUCUCUCUCUCUCUCUCUCUCUUGCGCAUUCUCUUCCUUUCUCAGCUCUCUUUGUCAGUCGCUCCACGAAACCCACCUCAUCCUCUCAUCUGAAUCACGAAACCCCCCUUAACCCCAUCUUUUAUGUCUCUCUUCAGAAUUGCCUAAGAUCGUAGCUACUUGCAACCUCGAAGCUUAACUCCAUCGCCAACCUCCAAUAGCGUUUCUUCCUCUCACUGAAGCUUAGGUUCCGCACCAACUUUGGCAGGCAGCAUUGUGCAAACUCUGUAUUUUUUCUAGUCCUGGGUUCGGAAUUUGCGUUUGAAAUCGCCACGCUUCUGAAAACUAUAUCUGCUACAGAUUCAUAUGGGGUUUUGUUUGCUGAAUUUUGUGUCCGGUGAAAAAUAGAAGAUUCUGCUUCCGACUCAUAAUGUAAAUCCUGAUGGCCAGCCUCAUCAUUGAAGCUUUCAUGAAACAAUUCAAUCAGUUGCUUUUUCACAUCAGUUGCCGGGGAUUUUAUGGGGCUGCUUUGGUGGAUUGGAGUAUUGGUGCUGGAUGGGGUAAGAUCUGCAACAAAAUGAAAAAUCUAAAGUUCCAGCAUCAUAUUUGUUUAGGACAUUAGAAGAAAUUUGGUGUGACAAAUUUAAGUUGAUAUAUCUUACCACCAUUGACACUGAAGAAAUCUUCACAAUCAGAUUCUAACCUGGGGUCAGAAGAAAAUUGCAUAUCCUCUUUGCCA